This 81-nucleotide transfer RNA is filed under the name Paragonimus skrjabini miyazakii. Its description in RNAcentral is "Paragonimus miyazakii tRNA". It matches the Rfam family "tRNA". From Rfam's summary of the family: Transfer RNA (tRNA) molecules are approximately 80 nucleotides in length. Their secondary structure includes four short double-helical elements and three loops (D, anti-codon, and T loops). The record is from Rfam by way of RNAcentral. Lineage: Eukaryota; Metazoa; Platyhelminthes; Trematoda; Plagiorchiida; Troglotrematidae.
AGCUUCGUAGUUCACCUGGUAGAGCGUUUGCCGCGUUGAGGCAUGAUGUUUUUGUUGCUGGUUCAAAUCCAGCCGAAGCUC